AUGGGAGUUCGAUGCCUGGUGCUGCUCCUACGCCCUCCUCUUCUGCCCUUCGUCCACCCUUCUUCUCCUCCAAGGAUAGGUCCGAUUUUUGCUGUGCUCCCGGAUGUGCAGUGCAGUGCACCCGAAUCCCGUGAGCAGUGCGCCGUGCGCCGUGGUGUGGUUUAUCCACGACAGCGUGCGGUGUCCAUGUGCAUUUUUGCAGUUCAGUGGAUGGAUGUUUCAGUGUCUUAUGUUUAUUGUCGUGCCUGUGGGGAUGUAUGCAUGUUUGUAAAAUGGGUGUGCCCGCGGUCCAGCGUGCUGCUAGCCUCCACUAUGCAGUACGACUGGGCGUGCCAUGCGGUUCGACAGUGCUCUUAUACACUUUGCUGA
RNAcentral lists this ribosomal RNA (369 nucleotides) under Triticum aestivum (bread wheat). RNAcentral describes it as "partial small subunit ribosomal RNA". Lineage: Eukaryota; Viridiplantae; Streptophyta; Magnoliopsida; Poales; Poaceae. The record is from RNAcentral.